CAUCAGUUUUUUUCGACUGUAUUUUGUUUUUAAGGAUAGUUGAAGGUCAGUUCCUAAAAUCUCAUCACUACUCAGUGUCCAUCUUGCUCCCAACGCUAGAACUCAAGGAUAAAGUGAACUUCCAUCAGUUUUUUUCGACUGUAUUUUGUUUUUAAGGAUAGUUGAAGGUCUACAGAGGUCAGCUCCUAAAAUCUCAUCGCUACUCAGUGUCCAUCUUGCUCCCAACGCUAGAACUCAAGGAUUAAGUGAGCUUCCAUCAGUUUUUUUCGACUGUAUUUUGUUUUUAAGGAUAUUUGAAGCUCUCCAGAGGUCAGUUCCUAAAAUCUCAUCACUACUCAGUGUCCAUCUUGCUCCCAACGCUAGAACUCAAGGAUUAAAAGAGCUUCCAUCAGUUUUUUUUCGACUGUAUUUUGUUUUUAAGGAUAUUUGAAGCUCUCCAGAGGUCAGUUCCUAAAAUCUCAUCACUACUCAGUGUCCAUCUUGCUCCCAACGCUAGAACUCAAGGAUAAAGUGAACUUCCAUCAGUUUUUUUCGUCUGUAUUUUGUUUUAAGGAUAGUUGAAGCUCUCCAGAGGUCAGUUCCUAAAAUCUCAUCACUACUCAGUGUCCAUCUUGCUCCCAACGCUAGAACUCAAGGAUAAAGUGAACUUCCAUCAGUUUUUUUCGUCUGUAUUUUGUUUUAAGGAUAGUUGAAGCUCUCCAGAGGUCAGUUCCUAAAAUCUCAUCACUACUCAGUGUCCAUCUUGCUCCCAACGCUAGAACUCAAGGUUAAAGUGAGCUUUCAUCAGUUUAUUUCGACUGUAUUUUGUUUUUAAGGAUAGUUGAAGGUUUACAGAGGUCAGUUCCUAAAAUCUCAUCACUACUCAGUGUCCAUCUUGCUCCCAACGCUAGAACUCAAGGAUAAAGUGAACUUCCAUCAGUUUUUUUCGACUGUAUUUUGUUUUUAAGGAUAGUUGAAGGUCUCCAGAGGUCAGUUCCUAAAAUCUCAUCACUACUCAGUGUCCAUCUUGCUUCCAACGCUA
Molecule: long non-coding RNA, 1021 nt
Organism: Bradysia coprophila
Lineage: Eukaryota; Metazoa; Arthropoda; Insecta; Diptera; Sciaridae
Source: RefSeq, a predicted model, not a curated record